UACAGAGGGUGCGAGCGUUCAUCGGAAUUACUGGGCGUAAAGCGUGCGUAGACGGCUAUCUAAGUCGGGUGUGAAAGCCCCGGGCUCAACCUGGGAAUUGCAUUCGAGACUGAAUAGCUAGGGUACGGUAGAGGGAAGCGGAAUUUCCGGUGUAGCGGUGAAAUGCGUAGAUAUCGGAAGGAACAUCAGUGGCGAAAGCGGCUUCCUGGACCAGUACCGACGUUCAGGCACGAAAGCGUGGGGAGCAAACAGG
Molecule: ribosomal RNA, 253 nt
Filed under: uncultured bacterium
Lineage: Bacteria
Description: partial 16S ribosomal RNA
Rfam family: Bacterial small subunit ribosomal RNA
Source: RNAcentral